Molecule: non-coding RNA, 436 nt
Organism: Peromyscus maniculatus bairdii (prairie deer mouse)
Lineage: Eukaryota; Metazoa; Chordata; Mammalia; Rodentia; Cricetidae
Source: RefSeq, a predicted model, not a curated record
CCCGGGAAGACGCACAGACAGCAACUUCCAGAUCGGAGUAGGAGUUGCUGAAGGCUCCUGAGGGGCGAUGCUCUGAGGGCAACAGGCCACCGAGGCAUUUACGUCACAGGAUGUAUGUGUGUGGGCGCGGGUCCUCUGUGGUUUCAGUUCUGAGCACUGAUGGCCGGUGACUUCAGAAAAACAAGGGAUCCCAUUUUUUCAGGCUUUCCCCACAACGGCCUCACCUGCCAGUCCCCGUAAAUGUCUCCUGAGUCCUGAGGUUUGAAAGGGAAGUCCUUUCUGGAAAAGAUUCCUUUAAGACACAAGGAGUUUCCUACCACUAUGGGUGGCUCGGCACAGCGGUCUCCUUCGGCCUCCUGCCUAGAGAGAGAAGGCUGAUACCUUUGAUACUAAAAACGAGCCUUACAGUCUGCUCUGUUCUUCUGUCAUAAUCUCA